GCUCUGGUAGCUUAAUUGGUAAAGCCUUAUAAUGUCACUAUAAGAAAUGUCAGUUCGAACCUGAUGUAGAGCG
Molecule: transfer RNA, 73 nt
Filed under: Debaryomyces psychrophilus
Lineage: Eukaryota; Fungi; Ascomycota; Pichiomycetes; Serinales; Debaryomycetaceae
Description: [Candida] psychrophila tRNA-Asp
Rfam family: tRNA
About the family: Transfer RNA (tRNA) molecules are approximately 80 nucleotides in length. Their secondary structure includes four short double-helical elements and three loops (D, anti-codon, and T loops).
Source: RNAcentral